UCCUGGCCCUAAACGAUGGGCACUAGGUGCGGGGGGAUCGACCCCCUCCGUGCCGCAGCUAACGCAUUAAGUGCCCCGCCUGGGGAGUACGGCCGCAAGGUUAAAACUCAAAGGAAUUGACGGGGCCCCGCACAAGCGGUGGAGCAUGUGGUUUAAUUCGAGGCUACGCGAAGAACCUUACCUGGGCUUGACAUUCACUGGAAAAGCCCGAAAGGGUGUAAUGCCGCAAGGAACCGGUGAACAGGUGCUGCAUGGCUGUCGUCAGCUCGUGUCGUGAGAUGUUGGAUUAAGUUCCGC
This 297-nucleotide ribosomal RNA is filed under the name uncultured bacterium. RNAcentral's name for it is "partial 16S ribosomal RNA". It matches the Rfam family "Bacterial small subunit ribosomal RNA", at positions 794 to 1090 of the family's 1533-position model. The record is from RNAcentral.